This 903-nucleotide long non-coding RNA is filed under the name Heterocephalus glaber (naked mole-rat). Its description in RNAcentral is "lncRNA (ENSHGLG00000032153.1)". The record is from RNAcentral. Lineage: Eukaryota; Metazoa; Chordata; Mammalia; Rodentia; Bathyergidae.
GUCAGCAGGCGCUUAUUUCAGUCAAAUGGGUCAGUCCAUUCACAGACAAGACUUAAGAAAAUAUUACCUUUCUACUUAAAGAUUCCAGGAAUUGCACUUUCUGGGCCCAAAGCCUCCCUGCCUGCCCUCACACCUUUUCUACAGCUGCUGGGUCAGACUGAAGCCUGGGGCCGGCCUACACCUCUGCCUUCGAGUCUUAUCUUCAGUUGCCUGGGCUGCCUUCGGCCGGAGGCCCGCCUACCUGCCCAUGCGCCGUUCUUCAGCAGUCCGGCUGCCCGGCUGCCCGCCAUCAGCAGGCCCACAGCAAGAGUGACGGCCAUAUCGGAGUGGCGAGCAGCAGAGAGAGAGCCUCUCCGAGGCUAAUGGCUGAGAAUUGAAGCCCACCGGGAGAGCGAAGAUAGUCACUGCAAUAAAAGACCCAGCAGACUACAGCGGUUGAAAUGAAUUCUUUCUACAAGAAGAUUUUUCAGAUAUCCACUAUCCAGCUUCCUGAGCAACUAUGGACUGAAACUGCUAAAAACCAUGCAGAGCUUUCCUGUGCCAGACCCUUCCAUCACAUCAUUUCUCUCACGGAGCCAGCCAACUAGGGAUUGUAACUGCUACCAAAAGGUGGGCAGCUUCCUCCACAACACACUCCUGCUGAGAUCUGUCCUGGCACCAGUCUGAAAGCAACAGGACUAACCAACCAUGGUCUGAAGCUGCUGAAACUGUGAGCCCAAAUAAGUCUUUUCUUUUUAAGUUUAUUUAUCUCAGGUAUUUGUUACACCAACAGACCCCUACUACUACACAAGGUGAAAAGCUAUGUAUAUGAGUCAGAGAAUGACAGGACUGGUUUUAUUUUAAAAGUUCAGUUGGUUGCUAUGUGAAGAUGGGGGAAGAGAAAAGACCAAAACCCUAAACAGG